ACAAACUCUCAGGCUAUAGAACAUGUAUACGUGAAAAAUGCAAUCCCAGAACCCCAGGCCCUUGCUGAUCAAAACUGGCAGAGAUUGUGAUGAUGUCCAGAAGGAAGUUAGGAAUGUAUUCAGCUACACAUAACGGAACCUGACUUGGAGUGGAACAAACAGAGGCUUACGUCUCUCACCAAGAAUUCUGGAGGAGUUUUAAAUUCAGACACAGAAUUAAUUCAUCCUCACAUAUGACCAUGAUAAGAGCUUUUCCAGGCUUGAUUCAGUGGGUCUGCUGCAACUCAAACCUUUACUGUAAGAUUUUAAAUUCAGGUGAGUUUCAGGAGUCAAUUUCUGCCCUUAUCCUCAAAAUAAGCAAUUCUGACAGUUUUCCUCUGCAUUCCAUUGUGACUUUAGGUUCAUCAAAGCUGGUUCCACCAGUUGGUACCAUCUGAGGAAUCUUAUUACCUUGGGUUUGUGUCUGCCUGAUUUAGUUCUUCCCCCAUAUGAUACUGAUCCUUUGUCUCCUGACCCUGAUGCUUGAUGCACCUCUUUACAAAUUAAGAGAUAAAUUGAAUCGUGGUAAUAGGAUACAGACCACAGAAAGUGGGGUUUAGGGACAGAAGGCAAAGGAUGAGCAUCACAAAUCAGUCAGUAUGUUUCUCGAGUUAAUAGAACAAAGGAGAAGACCCUUCAGUAACUCAGUGGGAAUUGAAAAGGCUUUUGAGGGCAUUAGGUCUCUUCCUGGUUCGUUGUUUUUUUUAAAAGGCCUUGGCAGAAUAGUAAUAAAAGGACACUUCCUUAACAUCACUGGUAGUGAGAAUGGAUCCAACAGCCAGCAAUACUCAACAUUUUUGAAGUCAGGAACAACAACA
This is a non-coding RNA of Odocoileus virginianus texanus, 857 nucleotides long. The record is from RefSeq and is a predicted model, not a curated record. NCBI's taxonomy places the organism in Eukaryota, Metazoa, Chordata, Mammalia, Artiodactyla, Cervidae.